RNAcentral lists this ribosomal RNA (881 nucleotides) under uncultured organism. RNAcentral's name for it is "bacterial SSU rRNA". It matches the Rfam family "Bacterial small subunit ribosomal RNA", at positions 18 to 890 of the family's 1533-position model. The record is from RNAcentral.
CCUGGCUCACAACGAACGCUGGCGGCGCGUUUAAGCAUGCAAGUCGAACGGGAUCAUUCCUUCGGGGAUGUGAGAGUGGCGAACGGGUGAGUAACACGUAGGUGAUCUACCGCUUGGCGGGGGAUAGCCCAUGGAAACAUGGGGUAAUACCGCAUACGACCGAUCUGCUGUGGCGGGUUGGGGAAAGGCGCUUAGGCGUCACCGAGCGAUGAGCCUGCGGCUGAUUAGCUGGUUGGUAGGGUAACGGCCUACCAAGGCAACGAUCAGUAGCCGGCCUGAGAGGGUGAUCGGCCACACUGGGACUGAGAUACGGCCCAGACAACUACGGUUGGCAGCAGCUAAGAAUCUUCCGCAAUGGACGAAAGUCUGACGGACCGAUGCCGCGUGGGCGAUGAAGGCCGUGAGGUUGUAAAGCCCUUUUCUAUCGGAGGAAUAAGCCUGGGAGGGAAUGCCCGGGUGAUGACGGUACGGUAGGAAUAAGCCCCGGCCAAUUACGUGCCAGCAGCCGCGGUAACACGUAAGGGGCGAGCGUUGUUCGGAAUUAUUGGGCGUAAAGGGCACGUAGGCGGCACGGUAAGCCUGGUGUGAAAGACCGCAGCUUAACUGCGGAGACGCGCUGGGAACUGCCGAGCUUGAGUGCUGGAGGGGGAGCUGGAAUUCCAGGUGUAGGGGUGAAAUCUGUAGAUAUCUGGAAGAACACCGGUGGUGAAGACGAGCUCCUGGCCAGAUACUGACGCUGAGGUGCGAAAGCGUGGGGAGCGAACAGGAUUAGAUACCCUGGUAGUCCACGCCGUAAACGAUGUGCACUAGGUGUUGGGUUCAUUAGCGACUCAGUGCCGUAGCUAACGCGUUAAGUGCACCGCCUGGGGAGUAUGCUCGCA